UCGUGGCAAUGAUUUGUGAGUUUAGUGCAAAUAUGGUGGCCGUAUAAAGUUCAUUUCCACUGCUAAUCUUCGUUGUGGUUGCUCUGCCAGAAUGGCUUCGGCAGUCUGCACAAAUGGUUCCCUGCAAGCUCUGCAAACGGGUCCCUCUUCUCUCUCGGGCUCCCACGAGGCCACAAGUCCAUAACGCCUGCACGGAGCGGAGCCGGAGCCGGCGACGACGACGAACGGCGGCGCCUCGGUUUCUCCGCGGAGCAUUCGGCCGCAGCCGCUGCAACGGUUAGUCUGGUCUCCGUACCUCCCCCCUCACUCCGGUUGGCUACUCCAACUGGCACCCAUGCGUGUUCGUGCUCUUCGUAUACUGAAUUUCUUCGCCCAUUCCGCGGUGUGUCGUACUACCGUGCUAGCGGCUAGAGCCUGUCUCUCGUCUCCAUUUUCCAAUUGCGGAUUGGUUCCCCAUUGGCCAUUGGAUCAGUGAAGUUAGGCCAAACCGACCCCCCCCCCCCAGCAAUAACCUAAGCGGGCAGUGUGAGAAUUUGUUUUUCUUAAAAGAAUAGCUCACUGUGUACUCCUUGCUACCUGUUGUACGGGAUUUACACAGAGCACCGUUGGAGACAGCCUUAGUGCCUUACAUUGAGUUAACACUAGUAUACCAGUCAGUAAUACAUAAAUAGUUCUGCCCUUAGCACUAUUGCAAUUGGCUUCUGAAUUCCAUUCCUAUAUCCAAUUCUUCUUUGGUGUGACUUUCCCAAAUAACAGUGCUCAAGAUGAGCAUGAGCUGUGUCAUAUAUUUCCAGUAUCCACAAAAUAAUUUGGGGGAAAUGGAAAAGGACAAUUUACAAAAGAAUACCUAACAUGGCAAUAUGCCAGAAGCUGUACAAAAAUAAUUACAAGGUUGUCAGGAACAGUAGUUCGUGGGAAGCUACAUGUAUGCAGCUUACAAUGGACUACAAGUGAAUCAUGUUUAACUGCACUAUAUCCUAACUGAAUUUUGCAUCCUCAGGGUGGGCUCUAUAGUGUCAAGGCAGGAGGCUACUUCCAGUAUGGUUGGCCUCAUGCACGCGUCAUGGUCGACACACUUGCAGGCUAUUUCAAGAACCUUCAGCAUUUGCUCGUCAUGCCCCAAGCCUCGUAGAUGUGGAUCGAGGACCUCAAUCUGCUUCCCUUCUGAUUUCAUCUCCUGCACCCACUUCACAAGUUCUUUUGAUAAAAACAAGGCUGAGACAGGCCGCCUUCCUGUGAGCAGCUCAAGCAGAACGACUCCAAAACUGUAGAUAUCACCUCUCAACGUCGCAACCCAGCCUUGCCCAUACUCAGGUGGGAUGUAGCCCAGAGUGCCAACUAGCUCAGUUGUGACAUGAGUUUUGUUUGCAAGGACUAAUCUUGAGAGCCCAAAAUCGGCAACGUAAGCCUUGAAAUCUUUGUCAAGUAGGAUAUUACUGGACUUUAUGUCACGGUGGACAAUGUGAGGCUUGCAGACAUCAUGGAUAUAAGAAAGGCCUUGGCUUGCCCCUUGCGCAAUUUUCAGCCGCAUCGGCCAACUGAGAAAUGUGCUGGCAUCAUCAUCCAUGGUGUGAAGCCAAUCAUCAAGGCUGCCAUUCUCCAUGUAGGAAUAUACGAGGAGCCUUGAAUCUCCCUGUAUGUAGUAACCCCACAGUGGCACAAGAUUCUCAUGCUGGGCCAUGGAGAGUGCUUCAACCUCUGCCUUGAAUUCCCUUUCCAUGGUCAACAUUUCACCAUUAAGCUUCUUGAUGGCCAGCUUGGUCCCAUCAGGUAAUAUAGCCUUGUAGACCAGACCAUAGCCCCCACAACCUAUGAUGUUUCCCUGGUGGAAGUUAUUUGUGGCCUUCACAAUGUCAGCGAAUUUGAGCUUGUUUUCUCCCCCUUCUCCUCUUGGCACUAUCACUAAUGACUGUUCUGAAUCAGACACGUGUGAAGUUGCUUCUACAUCUUCGUUAUCACUGAUCUUGCUUUUCUUUAUCAACCUUUUACACUUGAAUGAGACAGCGAGAUAUACCAGAAGCAGAAGAAGAGCAACUCCAAAGAACGAACCAAAUGCAAUCCCAAAAAUGGCUUUCCUACUGUGUUGCUUUGUUGAGACUGUUGGUGCGACUGCUGAGCUACAACUGUGAUGGAGGAUAGGUCCGCACAGCUUUGGAUUACCUUCAAAGCUAUUAUUCGAGAAUGUACUGAAUUGGCCUCCAGUAGGAAUAGGCCCUUCCAGGUUAUUGUAAGAAAUAUUCAGUGCGGAGAGGAAGUGUAGGUUGUUCAAUGCUGAUGGGAUUGCACCUCUGAGAUGAUUGUUAGACAAGUCUAGUACUUGCAGAUUUGUUAAGUUGCAGAGUUCCAGUGGUAUUUUUCCCGAUAAGUUGUUCGAGCUGAAAUUGAGUACAGCGAGCGACUUCAACUGACCAAUUUCUUGGGGAAUCGCACCAGUUAAGUUAUUGUAACCAAGUUUCAGCAGUUUUGGAAGAGCACUGGUUAUCCGGUACUGGAGCGAUGGGUUUUUAUAAACAGGUAGCUCAAAUACCCUUGGAUCCAAAUGGGUUGCAGUCUUUUCUGUCGUUAGCAUUGGCAUCUCCAUUAAGGCUGUUGGUAUUUCCCCUGUAAGCUUGUUACUUGAUAUGUCUAGAUGGAAUAGUGACUCUAAGCUUUUGAUCCAGGCAGGUAUUGUCCCACUGAGUUGAUUCGUGUGCAAAAGCAGCACCUGCAAAUUUUUGAGCUUCGAUAACCAAAGAGGUAUUUUCCCAGACAACGAGCAGUUAGACAUGGAAAGAACCUGAAGAUUCUGAAACCCGUCAAUUGUCUCAUCUUCUGGCAUGUCCUCACCCUUGAAGUUGCUUCCAAUAAGUAGGGAGGUGAGAUUCCUACAGUUCUUGAGUAUCUGAAGCGUAUUUGUGAUAUUUGUAAAACUGUUGGAAACUAGUGACAGGAAAACAAGAUGCUUCAAAUUGGCUAUUGCUGGGGAAAGCUGUCCAUGCAAGUUGUUGUUAGAGAGCCGCAACGCAUUCAGCUUGCUGCACGAGUAGAUGCUUUCAGGAACCGUGCCGGAGAAGCUGUUGUACAGAAGAUCCAAUGUUUUCAGAUUGGGCAGGCUGAAGAAGUCGACCUUCUGAAGCUCUCCGCCGAAGUUGUUGACCUUGAGGUCAAUCGUUAUGAGAUUUGUGCAGUUGCUUAGAGUUGAUGGCAGCUCCCCAGACAUGUCGUUGUUGUUCAGAUGCAGUUCCUCUAACCUCUCGAGCUGGCCUAUGGAAUCUGGGAUGUUUCCGCUUAGCCUGUUGCCUCCAAGAUCAAGGUGGGCCAGAUUUCUGAGCUUCAUGAUGUGUUCGCUAUCAAGCAUUCCGUGCAAACCAUUGCCGGGAAAAGAGAGGUACUCUAGUGACGUAGCAUUGAAGAGUUCAUCGGGGAGUGACCCACUGAGGGCAUUGUGGCCAGCCUUGAGCACUCUGAGCAUGGAGCAGUUACCAAGCCCAGGAGGAACGAGGCCACUGAGUUGGUUAUAGCAGACUUCAAUCACAGCCAAGGCCGGUGAGCUACUGCAGAUAUGGCUUGGUAUCUGUCCGGUAAAGCUGUUGUUGCUGGCAUUGAGUGCAACCAGACUGGUCAUCGCCUCCCAUGUGGUCGAUGGAAACGGUCCUGUAAACAAGUUAGUCGAGAUGUUGAGUACUUGCAGAGGACGGGGAGGGGUUGACGAAGGUAGCUCGCGCAGGCCUCCGUUGAGACGGUUGAAGCUGACAUCGAGGACAAGGAUGCUGUUUGACGACGUCAGCUCCGCCGGCAGGCCACCGGACAGCAGGUUGUGGGACAGGUUGAGGCGCAGCAGCGCGGUGAGCUCACCCAGGGACGCCGAGAUUUGCCCCUCAAGGCCCCUUGAAGCAAGGGAGACAUCGGUGACUGCCCCGUCUGCGCCGCAACCGACCCCUUCCCACGCGCAGCAGCCCGUGCCAUUCCGCCACGACGAGGCGAGACCGCCGUCCCGCGAGAGUCCAGCGAGGAACUGGAGGAGGGCGCUCCUCUCCUGCUCCGAGCACGAGCUCGUAGGCGGGAGGAAGGCGGAUAGCAAGAGCGCGAGCGCGAGGCCUAGGAGAGGUUUGAGAAACCCAUCGUUGUUGUGCUUGUCGUUGUCAUGUGAGGGAUGCACCCGUUGCUGCUGCUGCAUGGCUUCCUGAUGAAUGAAACUAGCAUCAAAGCAGAUGCUUGGAUCUGAUGCUGACUGGACGACGAUGCCCAAUGAAACUAGCAGAAGAGCGCGUGGAGGAAGAAGAGACAACAGGCAGCCCCCAGUUUAUCUGUUGCUUGCAGUUGCAGCCGUACGUAGGAAAUGGAAAUGAAAAUUGGGUCAACUUACUGCAUGGCUGCUGUGGGCACACAUCCACACCCUUUUCUUUUCCCGGCGCAUUUGCCACAGCUGGUUAGCAGCUUCUCGGCUGAUUCACACGGCCAGAUUCAGAGCUCCACGUUUUUGGAUGAGCCAACCUGGUAUGAUAGUUUUAUGUAAAAAGUCCAAACCUUCUGCGCGAACCCAAAAGGAAAAAAAAGGGGGCUGCUUUCGUCUCCACCCACCCAUUGGUUACUGUGACUACUGAGUCGUUGCAGGAUAUGCAUAAUUUCAGAUGGCGAUUCGAUCUCAUACUUUAAUCAUGAUUUAAUUUAAUAUACACUAGUGUUAUUGUUUCCAUGCAUUAUCUCAGUCUCUACUAAUUGCAGGCUUGCAGCUACUCUGUUGUGGCCGAUUUGGGUCCCCAAGCAGCAAUGCAGCAGCACGAUAGACUUGUCUACUUGUCGUUCCAUCUUCAUCAGCUGUUCUGUUGACCAAGAUGUGGCGCUCACGUCUGCACGAACCGGAUCCAAUUCUUUUGCCCUCGGUCUCCCUCCUGCUUUAGUUGACCUCAGAUGUCGGCUGCCACUUUGCAGUGUACUGUAACCUGUAUAUCUACCUAUUGUAUUUCAAAAAGGAAUACCGCAGAUCGAAGCCAUGUAUUUCAAAAGUUUCUUUUGUGGCAUGUAUUUCA
RNAcentral lists this long non-coding RNA (5009 nucleotides) under Zea mays. RNAcentral describes it as "long non-coding RNA (ZMAY_LNC003114)". Lineage: Eukaryota; Viridiplantae; Streptophyta; Magnoliopsida; Poales; Poaceae. The record is from RNAcentral.